UGUUAUACUAGUUCUUAUUUUAUUUUCUAUAAAGAGACAAACAUUCAUUAUAGAAUCACAAAAUCUAUAUAGUAAGUGGUGCUGGUGCCCUGAAGGAAAAUGUAAGGCACUGUAAUUACACUUAGCAAGGGCAUCAAAUCCCAUGAGGAGCACAGGGGAGUUUCACUAAGGAAUGACUCCCAACCCCCAAACCUGGAGAAUGAAUGGAAGUUAGUGACACCCUGGGGCCUGCGGAGGAGUUCCGCAAAGGUCCUGAAGCCAGUUGAGAAAAUGGAAGCCGGCUCGCAGGCGGGAGGACGGAGGGAGAGAAGGUCCACGCUGAGACAGAAAAUGUGGCAGUUGCAUCAGUCCUUAUAGGAUUUCACCCUUAACAGUGGAAAGAAAAUGGAAAAUUGGAAGCAAGAGGAACACAUCAUCAAAUUUGAAUCCACACCACGGCAGUUUGGAAACCAGAAUAGUGAGGGAAAGAACAAAUAUGGAGACUACCUAGGCGGUAAUUCAGGAAAACAGAAAACAGUGAUUGGAGUUGGUGUAAGGUGGUGGCAAUGAAGAUGAAACUUUUAAAAAGCAGGCUGACCCAAGAGCUGUGCUACACUGGAGAGACCCUCGGUGAGAGAAUCCAGUCUUCCUUAUCUGUGUAGAAAUUUCUACUUUAGGCCCAAUAACUCCUUAAAGCUCUUGUUAUUUACGUGUCUUUGUUUGACUACAGCUACUGGAGGGCAAGAGUCCUGUAUAUGGAGUCUGUAUCCUCAGUCAUUAGCACAGUCGUGUGGAACAAAGGGAGACUGGUGAAUCUAGGUGAAUGCAAAUGAAAGAAGACCUGCUUCACCAGAAGAGCAACAUGCAAAGCAUCCACAUGUUGGCCACAGUUGGGCAAAGAUUUUACAGGAAGCACGGCGCUGGCAUCUGCUUGGCUGCUACAGAGGCCUCAGGAAGUUUGCGAUCAUGGCAGAAGAUGAAGCCAGAGCAGGCGUGA
Molecule: long non-coding RNA, 976 nt
Filed under: Callithrix jacchus (white-tufted-ear marmoset)
Lineage: Eukaryota; Metazoa; Chordata; Mammalia; Primates; Cebidae
Description: lncRNA (ENSCJAG00000064795.2)
Source: RNAcentral